Long non-coding RNA from Etheostoma cragini (Arkansas darter), 170 nucleotides. RefSeq lists it as uncharacterized. The transcript is spliced from 2 exons. Lineage: Eukaryota; Metazoa; Chordata; Actinopteri; Perciformes; Percidae. The record is from RefSeq and is a predicted model, not a curated record.
AUCCCGUUUUUCCAGAAAGGAUUCGUUCAGAUGUUCGCCCGGAGACGCAGCCUGCAGCUGAGCUCCUCCCAGUGUGUGUCUCCAGGUGUCCUCCAGUGUUGUGUGUCCUUCUCUCUGACCACCAGACUGUCUCCCAGCUGGAACAAAGCAGGACUCUUCCUCAUCGCUGG